GGCAGUGUGGCAUAGUGGUUCGAGUGUGGGACUGUGACUCUGGAGAGCAGGGUUUGAAUCCCUGCUCGGCCU
Non-coding RNA from Phrynosoma platyrhinos (Desert horned lizard), 72 nucleotides. The record is from the annotation of a GenBank genome assembly. Lineage: Eukaryota; Metazoa; Chordata; Lepidosauria; Squamata; Phrynosomatidae.